UCGGGAAUCUUCCGCAAUGGGCGAAAGCCUGACGGAGCAACGCCGCGUGAGUGAUGAAGGUCUUCGGAUCGUAAAACUCUGUUAUUAGGGAAGAACAAAUGUGUAAGUAACUAUGCACGUCUUGACGGUACCUAAUCAGAAAGCCACGGCUAACUACGUGCCAGCAGCCGCGGUAAUACGUAGGUGGCAAGCGUUAUCCGGAAUUAUUGGGCGUAAAGCGCGCGUAGGCGGUUUUUUAAGUCUGAUGUGAAAGCCCACGGCUCAACCGUGGAGGGUCAUUGGAAACUGUAAAACUUGAGUGCAGAAGAGGAAAGUGGAAUUCCAUGUGUAGCGGUGAAAUGCGCAGAGAUAUGGAGGAACACCAGUGGCGAAGGCGACUUUCUGGUCUGUAACUGACGCUGAUGUGCGAAAGCGUGGGGAUCAAACA
This 427-nucleotide ribosomal RNA is filed under the name uncultured bacterium. RNAcentral's name for it is "partial 16S ribosomal RNA". It matches the Rfam family "Bacterial small subunit ribosomal RNA", at positions 355 to 774 of the family's 1533-position model. The record is from RNAcentral.